This 2211-nucleotide long non-coding RNA is filed under the name Paramuricea clavata. Lineage: Eukaryota; Metazoa; Cnidaria; Anthozoa; Malacalcyonacea; Plexauridae. The record is from RNAcentral.
CAAAAAAAUCUCCUCUUAACAAUAUUGUUCAACCUGAACAAUGCUGAACAAUAUUGUUAACAACCAGGAACAAUAUGGGCAGCAAAAUAUUGUUCAGGCCUGUUUUCAUCAACAUUGUUACAGGCUAGGCGUUUUUUGCAGUGUACAUGAUGCGGAAAAAAAAACACUCAGCCUAGCUGUAACAAUGUCGAUGAAAACAAGCUUGAACAAUAUUUUGCUUCCACAUUGUUCCUGGUUGGUAGCAAUAUUGUUCAGCAUAUCAACACUCGUGGAAAUUGGGAAAACUCGAAACACACAAUUUCUCGUUUUCCCAAUUUCCACUCGUGUUGAUAUAACUGUAUAUCAACACGGAAAAUGUUUUAUAUUUUUGUUAAAUAUAAACCACUUGGCUCCAGUCCGCGUCCGAUGCAUGAUGGUUUUUGAGUUUGGCUCUUUUUGGCUUAUCAUUAGUUCCCAUUAUUCUGCAUGGCCCAGCUAUUCUAAAUACUCUAACUGAAGUCAGAGUAAAGAUGUCGAAUAUUGCCGCCAAAAAAAGAAUGUGCGUGGCUGUGGCCUGUGUGGGGUCCGCACGAUAAUCCCCCACUUCAGAGCCAGAGCGAUCCGCACGAACAAGCACUUAUUCUUAUUGCGUAAGGAAGUUUUAUUUUUUAAAGAAGUUUUGUUUUUGAAAGAAGUUAUGUUUUUGAAGGAAGUUGGUGUGUUAUAACAUAUUGCACAACACGACAGAAGUUUCAUUAAGUCUUGACAGUCGCUUACAGAAGAAGCUCAAGUGUCUUACCUGAUUUCCACUUUUUGUUGGGAGAACAUCAGGCCAGUACUUUAUAAAUUGACACGUCAAUUUAGCGAGUCAAAAACGCAUACGCGCGGAUCGUCAAAGUUACAGAACAGGUACAGAAUACAGUGCUCAGUUAAAAUUGAUUUCAGUAUAUUGUGGUUAUUAUUGACUGUAAUAUUUCUUUAUUUAAUUAUCUUUUCAAGCUUUCAUAAACAAUGAAAUUUCUGCAACUGGUUUUUAUCGUGAGUCUUCUACUCAGUUUCCUCGUGCUAGCCAACGGCAACGUCGGCGAUUACGAAACGAAACGCAGUGCCAGUAUCUUGCAGAAACGGGGUAUUGUUAUACGGAGGAAAUGUCGCAGAGGAUGGGGUGCCCUGACGAAUAGACGAGGCUGGUACAUAUAUGGAAGCGAUUAUGGAUGUUGUGGCAAUUACAGAGGAUGUUGUAAAUACGCUAGUUGGGCUUGUUAUGCACACGACGUGGAGUGCAGAUGUUGUAGCAAGUGGCAUUGUGGCUUUGCAUGUAGAAAAGCGUCAUCAUGCAAGUGAAUGACUAAUUUACAGAACCAAAACAAAGGGAAUUAACACUUAAUUGUAGAGCUAUAGUUUUGUAUCGUACAACUAGUAACAUCGUGGGAUUUGCAGAUGAUUGACUCUUGUAGAAUACUUAGAAUUAAGACGUUAUAGAAUAAGAAGUUUAACAUGUAAGCAUAUGUCAUAUGAUCAUGGUCUGGAAGCCUGACAAACUUCAAAGCUGCAAAAUAGAAGACCUUUGUUUGAUGUUGGACUGUGCCUUACCAUGCGCAAAUCCUUUGUCUCAGCUAUCCCUAUUGGACGGUUGCUUAAUUAUACCAAAAUGCAAUGAUUAUGUAACAUAAACUCAGACAAAAACAUAUAAAAAACACUUCUGCUAAGUUUCCAGACCAUCAUAUGAUUCAUAUCUUGAUAGACCAUGAUGUAAGUUACUGUUAGUGGUUAUUUUAUUCAAAUAGACACGUGUUUUGUAGUUCUACAUUUCUUGGUCCAGUUCAUCAGAUAUAUUGUGUGUACUCUAUCUAGUUUAGGCUAUAGUCAAAAUAUCCAUCACAUGUAUCUAAAGACUAAACUAUCAAACUUUAUAAUUCCAUCGGAAUCGAAAUACUGGUCUACAUGCGGCUUCCGGGCAGUAUUUUUAAAAUACUACGUGCCCGGCAGUCAGGAAACACGUACAGCACACUGGGCCGAAGGAUAAACCGAAAAUUUACUUCUCUCCAUCACAAGCUUUAAUGUUCAGUCGAUCCCGGCUACAUUGAAAGAUGAGUACUUGGCUAUUUUUUGGCAGGGGUAACGAAAUAUAUCGGCUGUUCUCUACAGUAAGUGUUUCUUUAUGCGUUGGCCAACGGAGAUCCGAAUAUAAUAUGAUUACAUAAGCUUGAUAGAUGUAAGAUAACGAGUUUC